CUUAAAUAUAUUUAAGCGUGUCAAACAAAAAUUAACCAAAAUCAGAUAGGUACUUCAGGCAAAAUCAUUUCGGAAGGUAAAAAUUCCACAUACAUUUAAGGCAAAAGUGUAUACGAUGUGCAAAAGAAAUUUAAACUAAAAGUGGAUUAGGUGUAUAAGAUAUACAUACCUAGAUAUUUGGCUAAAAACAUAAACCCUAUGAAAACCUAAGAAAGGAGAUCUAAUAUGGAGGAGAAAUUAUCCGUUCGCUUUGGUGUAACGUUUUGUGUAAAUAACGUAUGAUUUUCUGAAGGAAGGAAACUAAAAGAAAGACAAGAAACCAUUAAUCCAUUAAAACAAAAAUGAAAGUAAAUUCAAAUUAGAGAAAAUUUUUGUCAACAAUUAAAAUGACCUAGUAAAUGCUAAAUUCAAAUUUAUAUAGUACAUAUGUAUAUAUGUAUGUACGAGUAUACAUGUGUAUGAAGUGUAUUGCAUAAGUUCGAUGUGAGUAUAUAAAGAUGAUUAUUAAUAUUAUACUUACCCUAUAAUUUCCAAGUUAUUUUGUUGGUAACAAAAGAGGAAAAACCAAUGCAAAAUUUAAACCCAAAACUAAUGAUAUUCAAAGCCAAUGACGAGAAACAACAACAAUAAAUGUGCUGAUGUGCUGAAAGCCGCAAAGAGAACGACAACCAGAUGGAAACAAUUUGAUUCCUUUCAAAUGUUUAGCUAACACAAUACCAACAAUAAUCGAUGGAAAAUUCAUUGUAAAAAAGUAUAAAAGCAACACGUAAUGGGGUGGCAGAUGAACAAUUGCUAAAACGAACAGUUACGAUCUGUGUAAAUGUGAACAUAAUGAGCAAAAAACGAUAUAGCAGGUAUACAAUAAUGGCCGAAUGAAACCAAAACUAAAGUAAUGAACAACUUACCGCAAGGCGACAAAGCAAAUACAAAACGCAAAUGACACAAAAGAAAAACUAUUAACUUGUAACGAUGUGAACUUGGAGCAUACUUUCAGUAUUUUUAUGAAUACUGUCAAUAAAAAUUAAUAAAACAUAA
RNAcentral lists this long non-coding RNA (1035 nucleotides) under Drosophila guanche. The record is from RNAcentral. Lineage: Eukaryota; Metazoa; Arthropoda; Insecta; Diptera; Drosophilidae.